AGUGGCGGACGGGUGAGUAACGCGUGAGAAUCUGCCUUGGGGUCGGGGACAACCACUGGAAACGGUGGCUAAUACCGGAUAAGCCGAUUGGUGAAAGAUUUAUUGCCCGAAGAGGAGCUCGCGUCUGAUUAGCUAGUUGGUGAGGUAAGAGCUCACCAAGGCAGCGACCAGUAGCUGGUCUGAGAGGACGAUCAGCCACACUGGGACUGAGACACGGCCCAGACUCCUACGGGAGGCAGCAGUGGGGAAUUUUCCGCAAUGGGCGAAAGCCUGACGGAGCAAGACCGCGUGAGGGAGGAAGGCUCUUGGGUUGUAAACCUCUUUUCUCAGGGAAGAAGCUCUGACGGUACCUGAGGAAUCAGCCUCGGCUAACUCCGUGCCAGCAGCCGCGGUAAUACGGAGGAGGCAAGCGUUAUCCGGAAUUAUUGGGCGUAAAGCGUCCGCAGGUGGCGAUUCAAGUCUGCUGUCAAAGCACGGGGCUUAACUCCGUAAAGGCAGUGGAAACUGAAUAGCUAGAGUGCCGUAGGGGUAGAGGGAAUUCCCGGUGUAGCGGUGAAAUGCGUAGAGAUCGGGAAGAACAUCGGUGGCGAAAGCGCUCUACUGGACGGCAACUGACACUCAGGGACGAAAGCUAGGGGAGCGAAUGGGAUUAGAUACCCC
This 660-nucleotide ribosomal RNA is filed under the name uncultured bacterium. RNAcentral's name for it is "bacterial SSU rRNA". It matches the Rfam family "Bacterial small subunit ribosomal RNA", at positions 94 to 788 of the family's 1533-position model. The record is from RNAcentral.